CAGUAUAUUCAGAUGACAAAGCGUUUUCUGUGCUUGCAGGGUUCAAUUUGAGUUGGCUAUUAGGAAAGGGAAAUUGGACUCACAGUGGAAGGCUGAAAUCAAAGGAAGCAACAGAACAAGGUUUGUGGUGGAGAUAGCAACAGAAAGACAUGGCAUUUCAAGUAAUCUGAGUCAAAUGAUUAGUUCACAGUGUUGUGAAACAGGGUAAUAUUCUCCUCCCUUUCUACUCAAAAGAAAACCUCCAACUCUAAAAGGGGAAAGCGAAGGAAACAUCUUCCUAGACUUAGUUCCAAAAACAGAUUUUAAAGUAAUUCUAGUCUGGUAAUCAGCACAAAGUGGUGUGGAACAAGGCGAUAUUUACCUCCUGUCUUGCUAAAAGGAAACCCCAUAACUCUAAAGAGGAAAAGCGAAGGAAGUAUCUUCAAGUACUCUGUUUCAAAGGGAUUUAAGCACUCUAGAAAAAUUCCUAUGAAGAUAAGGUUUCACUGCGGAUUUGAGUAUCUUCUCCACAAAGUCUACACUGAAGUACUUCCAAUGGAUCAGUGAACAAGGGACUACAAGCCAACAUAGAUACUGUUCAACUUGCUUUAAAUCCCACCAGCUGAACCAGGCAUGACCAAAAGGAAACCAGGAGAGGCAGCAUGUUAUAGUGGAUAGAGAACAGGCCUUGAAGCCAGGAAGAUCAGGCUGGAUUGAGUCCCACCACUGACACAUCCUGGCUGUGUGACACCCCCCAAGCAAAGUCAAUUAAAAGCCUCUCAGAGCUCAAGGCAACGAAGACUCCAUGUUGAAAAGAAAGUGCCAACCUGCUUGGGCAGAGGAGUUUCCUCACUUGGGAGUACUCCAUACCAGUGAAGUCACAGGUCCAAGUUGCCUAUUCCACUGUAAUCAUUCUCUGGGGAAAUACAUGCAAAGAAAGGAGGACCAGACAUCAUCACCCUUUGAACGCCUAGUGGGUUGCCUGUCUGGCCAUCUGAUCGGCAUUCCCUGAAGCCUCCUCGGGGUCUGCGUAUUUUCUCCUUUUCUCUAGCAGUCAGGCUGAUGUGGCAACCUGAACCACACACAGUCUUGUGGAAGCCCACAGAAGACUGGAUUUUCUAGGAAAUAACAAGGUUUACCACUCCAGUGGAUCACAUCCAGUUCCCUGUAAAGAGUCUCGGGUCUACAGUAUGAGGGGAAUUCUAGCCAAGGGACGUCGUAAAAAAAUACUUCAAAGAAACUCAGAAGUCGUCCCCAGACAACCUUUUUCCCGUCUCCAUCCCACUGAAGGCAAGACUGGUAAGGCCUCCGAUACUAGGGGAAGUGACUUUUGAACCAAUUUAAAAGUGGAUCCACCGUGGAGACGGUGCCCCUGCUGGCCCCCCCUGCCUGGGAUGCAUGCCCUUCCUACCUCCACCUUUGUAAGGCCCCAGCUCCCUGCCAGCUUCAGCUCACCCGUCAUCAGCUCUACCUGGAGGCAUUCCUAACGCUAUCAGAAGAUAACUGCCCACAGCAAAAGACAUAGCCUUCUCGGUGUCAGUGUAUCUUGCCCCGCCUCCCCAUCUGCAGACUCAGAGCGUAAGCUCCUCCAGGGCAGGGUCUGCUUCGUUUUCCUUUGUCUCCUAACCCAAGCUUGCUGGAUUGAAUUAAAUCGCCUCCCUCCCUCGCCCCAGCCGCCCCCUCCCGGUCUCUGCCCUCCCCCUCUUCCUCCGUUCAGUACCAGCAUCCUCCCCACUCCCCGGGGUUCGGGGCUCCUCACGCUGCAACAUCCUGGCUCUCUGGGAGCCCCUGUCCACCCAGCGGCGGAAGUCCCCGGGAGCCCACGUGGAACCUGCUCCAGGCCUGCAGGCCCUUCCUGCCGCCGCCUAGCGCUCCUCUUACCUCAGGA
Non-coding RNA from Phascolarctos cinereus (koala), 1867 nucleotides. NCBI's taxonomy places the organism in Eukaryota, Metazoa, Chordata, Mammalia, Diprotodontia, Phascolarctidae. The record is from RefSeq and is a predicted model, not a curated record.